This 400-nucleotide ribosomal RNA is filed under the name uncultured bacterium. Its description in RNAcentral is "bacterial SSU rRNA". It matches the Rfam family "Bacterial small subunit ribosomal RNA", at positions 356 to 773 of the family's 1533-position model. The record is from RNAcentral.
GGGGAAUAUUGGACAAUGGGCGAAAGCCUGAUCCAGCCAUGCCGCGUGAAUGAUGAAGGCCUUAGGGUUGUAAAGUUCUUUUGUCAGGGAAGAUGAUGACGGUACCUGAAGAAUAAGCACCGGCUAACUUCGUGCCAGCAGCCGCGGUAAUACGAAGGGUGCUAGCGUUGUUCGGAAUCACUGGGCGUAAAGCGCGCGUAGGCGGCUUUCCAAGUCAGAGGUGAAAUCCCUGGGCUCAACCCAGGAACUGCCUUUGAAACUGUAAAGCUGGAGUGUCGGAGGGGAUGGCGGAAUUGCUAAUGUAGAGGUGAAAUUCGUAGAUAUUAGCAGGAACACCGGUGGCGAAGGCGGCCAUCUGGACGACAACUGACGCUGAGGCGCGAAAGCGUGGGGAUCAAAC